This 467-nucleotide ribosomal RNA is filed under the name uncultured bacterium. RNAcentral's name for it is "partial 16S ribosomal RNA". It matches the Rfam family "Bacterial small subunit ribosomal RNA", at positions 28 to 507 of the family's 1533-position model. The record is from RNAcentral.
GACGAACGCUGGCGGCGUGCUUAACACAUGCAAGUCGAACGGAAAGGCCCUGCUUUUGUGGGGUUCUCGAGUGGCGAACGGGUGAGUAACACGUGAGUAACCUGCCCUUGACUUUGGGAUAACUUUAGGAAACUGGGGCUAUACCGGAUAGGAGCUCCUGCUGCAUGGUGGGGGUUGGGAAGUUUCGGCGGUUGGGGAUGGACUCGCGGCUUAUCAGCUCGUUGGUGGGGUAGUGGCUUACCAAGGCUUUGACGGGUAGCCGGCCUGAGAGGGUGACCGGCCACAUGGGGACUGAGAUACGGACCAGACUCCUACGGGCGGCAGCAGUGGGAAAUAUUGCACAAUGGGCGGAAGCCUGAUGCAGCAACGCCGCGUGCGGGAUGACGGCCUUCGGGUUGUAAACCGCUUUCGCCUGUGACGAAGCGUGCGUGACGGUAAUGGGUAAAGAAGCACCGGCUAACUACGUG